AUGAAGUGGCCGAGUGGAUAAUGCGAUGGCGUUUGAAGCAAAAGGUACUGAGUUCGAGUCCCAGAGUGAACA
This 72-nucleotide transfer RNA is filed under the name Schistosoma mansoni. Lineage: Eukaryota; Metazoa; Platyhelminthes; Trematoda; Strigeidida; Schistosomatidae. The record is from RNAcentral.